Molecule: long non-coding RNA, 2148 nt
Filed under: Musa acuminata (dwarf banana)
Lineage: Eukaryota; Viridiplantae; Streptophyta; Magnoliopsida; Zingiberales; Musaceae
Description: long non-coding RNA (MACU_LNC003883)
Source: RNAcentral
GUGAACAUAUAACAAAAUCUCGGCACGCACUUGAAGAUUUUUGCAGAAUUCUCAGUCAUAUACUUCAUCUUGAGCAUUUCUGGUUCAUCUCUCAUUUCCUUUUAUGAUUUGCCAUCUAGUUGCAAUGAGUUAUGAUCUGUGGAAGCUGAUUAAUGCCUGCUGCAUUAUGAGCCAUUCAGCAUCCGUUCCAGGUUCCAAGACUCCACCUUGUACAUACAAAAAAUGUCAGCAUCAUUACCGCUGACAUUUUUGUAUGUGCCUAAAUCUGUGCAGAUUGUUAUUGUGUACAUGACGUUGGAUUAUGCAUUGAUUACAAUUAUCUACUGCAGAUUCCUUACACACUGAUAUAAACGUCUCUAUUCAAUGUCUCUGAACAGAGUUGCCUGAGAAGAUCUGAUGAAAUUUCCCUGUUUGGUUUGCAGGAUGACUAGCCGAUCGGCACAUGCUGCAAGACAGCAGAAGUCGGCAUAUGGACCAGGGAACAUUUUUGAAGAACGAGGGGAUGAAGAAAAAGAAGCCAGUAUUGCUUCCAAUUAGUCAAAGGGAUCGUUGUUCUCGAAAAGAACUCCGUGUGUUCGUACACUCGAAACGCAAGUAAGAUUGGUUGUUGGCAUUAGAAGGUUUGCAUGGCCGCAAUUUCACACCACCUUUUCCAAUCAAAUCUAGAGGAAAAGGACAUCGCACGUAUGGCAUCAAAGUAUUAUUCUCAGGUAACAACAUGAAGCACUAUUAUUUUGUUAAUAAUCAACAAAAUGAGCUUGAAUCAACUUCUCAGCAGAACUUUUGAGCCAAGAUUUUUUUAGCUUAGGCAUUGAGAAUAUUUGGUCAUUUCAUAAUCAAGAUUGUCGAUAGAAGUCUUGAGAAAUGUUUCCUGAAAGAAAUUUUAAAUUGCUUGUGCUUCAUGCAUAUUUUGGUGGAUAAUUUUCGAUUUAACAUUGGAUACAUACUGUAGUAUUAGUCGUCCUGUUAAUUAGACCACUUGGUCCGAUAACAUGAGCACCCACUUCAUUGGUUCAUAGUUUUCGCGGCAACUUCUUGCAGUUCUUAUUCAGAGUAUACAGUAGCUAAAGUCAACAAACACACACGCACGCACCCCUAGUUGACCUUCUUACAGUCGCUUCUGAUCUCUCCGUUGCUCCCGGUCAGUGGAUUAAUGUUCCCCAUGUUGAUCAUGGAGGAAGCAAAGCUCUGGAAGAAGGUGCUUUCGUCGCCUGCAAAGCUGUUGACGAUGGAAAUAGUGGAGGCCCCGCUGGUGGAGAACAGCUCCUGGUCGGACUGCAGCAGCCCCUCGUUGCUCUGCAGGUUGGUGAAGUACUUGUUGUCGAAGGUGUUGGGCGUGGUGAGGUCGAGAUUGUUGAGGGUCGUGUCGUCUCCUCCCUGGGGGCAGUUCUGCUGCAGAGUCGCCAAGUAGGUGGAGUCCAGCGACGGGUCGGGGCUGCCGGUGCCGCUGAAGUUGUAGAGCCGGCUGCUGAAGAAGCGGCACUGCGCGCGGCCGAACGUGUGAGCUCCUGCGUGCAUCCCAUGCCAUGCAGAGAAGAACCAGAUGAGAAGGCCGUUUACGUACUUGUUUCUCUAUCCGGACGAGAUAGAAAAAAGAAGAGUGAAACCAGGAUUAAGCUUUACCUGACAAGGCGACCAGAUCAGUGUCAUCGAGGCCUACAUCCGAGAACUUUUGCUUGAGGGUGUCCAAGUCAUCGAAGGGGCUCGGCAUGUUGUUGGCAGCGGUAGGGUUGGCUGUGGUUCCAUCCCUCCUUCCCAGUAGUACACCCCAUGUUGGACCUCCUGCCUGUUAACAACACAUUGCUGUUGAGUUCUGACACCACCAUUCUGCUAUCAUAUUAAUUAUUUUGACUUAUCCUGGUUAUACUAAUCAACUCAUGCAUUCAUUAUCUCAUUUUUAUAUCUGACUUCACAUGGAUGUUCUCUCCCUUGAGAUAGGAACACUGUUAACCCCGUGAAUCUGUCCAAUAUGCUGGUCGUUGUGUCCAUAUACAUACUAAAAGAAUAAUUAGUUCGAGUAUAUUUGCAAUAUUGGGUCGGUCUUGCUUGUCAAAGCCUCCAAGUGAAGGAGAAGCUAAGAGAAGGAGAAGCUACACAUAUUUAUAGGGAUGAGGACCAAAGCACGAAAGCUGAGAUGUGGUAAAGCUU